GAUGAACGCUGGCGGCGUGCCUAAUACAUGCAAGUCGAGCGAAUGGAUUAAGAGCUUGCUCUUAUGAAGUUAGCGGCGGACGGGUGAGUAACACGUGGGUAACCUGCCCAUAAGACUGGGAUAACUCCGGGAAACCGGGGCUAAUACCGGAUAACAUUUUGAACCGCAUGGUUCGAAAUUGAAAGGCGGCUUCGGCUGUCACUUAUGGAUGGACCCGCGUCGCAUUAGCUAGUUGGUGAGGCAACGGCUCACCAAGGCAACGAUGCGUAGCCGACCUGAGAGGGUGAUCGGCCACACUGGGACUGAGACACGGCCCAGACUCCUACGGGAGGCAGCAGUAGGGAAUCUUCCGCAAUGGACGAAAGUCUGACGGAGCAGCGCCGCGUGAGUGAUGAAGGCUUUCGGGUCGUAAAACUCUGUUGUUAGGGAAGAGCAAGUGCUAGUUGAAUAAGCUGGCACCUUGACGGUACCUAACCAGAAAGCCACGGCUAACUACGUGCCAGCCGCCGCAGUAA
This 515-nucleotide ribosomal RNA is filed under the name uncultured bacterium. RNAcentral describes it as "partial 16S ribosomal RNA". It matches the Rfam family "Bacterial small subunit ribosomal RNA", at positions 28 to 523 of the family's 1533-position model. The record is from RNAcentral.